Molecule: long non-coding RNA, 195 nt
Filed under: Pan troglodytes (chimpanzee)
Lineage: Eukaryota; Metazoa; Chordata; Mammalia; Primates; Hominidae
Description: lincRNA
Source: RNAcentral
GGUGGCUGUCAAUAGAUUGGCCCAAAAGGAAGAACAAGGAAAAGGGCACCAAAGAAGAUAAAUGAAAAUACAAGGGUAUAAGCUGAACUGUGGACAUCCUGCCACUGGGAAUUAAGUUAAAGUAGAAAAAAGCAGAAUGUAAUGGGGAGUCCCCUCACAAGAAGAAUUUGGAUCAAAGCAUGGCAGUGAGGGGAA